RNAcentral lists this ribosomal RNA (431 nucleotides) under uncultured bacterium. RNAcentral's name for it is "partial 16S ribosomal RNA". It matches the Rfam family "Bacterial small subunit ribosomal RNA", at positions 29 to 507 of the family's 1533-position model. The record is from RNAcentral.
AACGAACGCUGGCGGCAGGCUUAACACAUGCAAGUCGAACGCCCCGCAAGGGGAGUGGCAGACGGGUGAGUAACGCGUGGGAACAUACCCUUUUCUACGGAAUAGCUCUGGGAAACUGGAAUUAAUACCGUAUACGCCCUCCGGGGGAAAGAUUUAUCGGGGAAGGAUUGGCCCGCGUUGGAUUAGCUAGUUGGUAGGGUAAAGGCCUACCAAGGCGACGAUCCAUAGCUGGUCUGAGAGGAUGAUCAGCCACAUUGGGGCUGAGACACGGCCCAAACUCCUACGGGAGGCAGCAGUGGGGGAUAUUGGACAAUGGGCGCAAGCCUGAUCGAGCCAGGCCGCGUGAGUGAUGAAGGCCUUAGAGUUGUAAAGCUCUUUCACCGAUGAAGAUAAUGACGGUAGUCGGAGAAGAAGCCCCGGCUAACUUCGUG